Molecule: non-coding RNA, 195 nt
Filed under: Bradyrhizobium sp.
Lineage: Bacteria; Pseudomonadati; Pseudomonadota; Alphaproteobacteria; Hyphomicrobiales; Nitrobacteraceae
Also listed under: 1 other name
Description: FMN sequence
Rfam family: FMN riboswitch aptamer (RFN element)
About the family: The RFN element is a highly conserved domain that is found frequently in the 5'-untranslated regions of prokaryotic mRNAs that encode for flavin mononucleotide (FMN) biosynthesis and transport proteins. This element is a metabolite-dependent riboswitch that directly binds FMN in the absence of proteins.
Source: RNAcentral
UCAUGUUCUCAGGGCGGGGCGAAAUUCCCCACCGGCGGUAAGCGGUCUCGGUCGAGCCGCAAGCCCGCGAGCGCCUUUUCUGCAAGGGCCAGUCUGGAAAAUCCUGUUCUCCGGAUCGGGCCAUGAAGAGAAGGGUCAGCAGAUUCGGUGCGACUCCGAAGCCGACGGUCACAGUCCGGAUGAAAGAGAACGGGU